UUGUAUUCUGCUCAGAGCUCAUCUCCUUGAAAAUCAGUUCAACUUCAUGUAGUCAAUCUUUCCAUCCAAACCUGCUUUAUCAAUCUUCAUAUCGAGUUGUUCUGUUGAUUUUUCCUCAACUCUGAGCUCUGAAAAAGCUAUGUCCACUUCGCGAUUCCUUCUCGUUCUCCAUCUUCAGCAAAUUAACCACUCGGAGGCGUCGAUUUCAAAUGAUGCUCCACGAAUCCCUACUUCGCCUGCUACAAUUUCUCCCUCCUCUAAUGCUAGGGCUUCGGCGAUGUCUGCAUCCAGGCCAGAAGAGUGGCAGAGUUACUAUCCUGAAUUGCAUUAGAAGAACAGUCUGUCUUCAUAGUCCUCUGCCUUAUAUACAUUUCUAUUGUACCAUUGAAGAGAUUAAGUCUCCUUAGACUUCCCAAACUUGUACAUUUAUGGAAGACAAACUUGCAAGCAACCCAUCAUUCCUCAACUUAGAAGUCCUCAAGGUAGAAGAAUGCGGUCGAUUAAAUCUUUUAUUUCCGUCGUCAUUCUCCCUCCACAACUUGAAGUCUAUCAGAAUAGUUCCCUGUCAUGGAUUGGUUCACUUGAUGAAUUCAUAAGUAGCUAAAACCCUGGUGAAACUGCAAGAGAUGCGUUUAUCUUCUUGCAAAAAGAUUCUACCAUAAUUGCAAAAGGAGAAGGAGGUGAAGAAGAGGAUGAAAUCGUUUUCAGCCAAUUGAAGAUUUUGGAGCUCUUCAACUUACCCAAUUUAUCAACCUUUCAUUUUGGGAAAAGCAGUUUUAAGUUGCCGUGCCUGGGAAAAGUGGUUGCGAAGAAAUGCCCUGAAAUGAAAGCAUCUUCUGGUGGAGUUGUGAGCACGCCUGAACAUUACUGGUAUGUCAAAUGUGGAUCAGACGAGGGAUUUUGGACAAGCAACGUCAAUGCCACCAUCAACCGGCUAUGGUAUGAUGGCCAUGACACUAGCCUUCAGAGUUUGUUUAUUGAACAGGUAUGUGUCUAUUGAUUCUACAAAUUUUUAUUGCAUGAUUUUACUUCUAUGCAUAAAUCAUUUGUAUGAUUUUACUUAGGGGGGUGAGAAACUGGUUUGGUCGGGUGGGAUCGGUUUUCAUGUAAAAGGAGAAAACCGACUCGGUUUGAUUUAGUGGUGAAGAAACCGAACUGAUUCAGGUCGCUUUAUGGCUGGUUUUUCUUUUACUUAUGUUGAAUUGAAUUGGAAAACUAAGUGGUAUCACGGGAUAUAGUCCUAAUAGAUAUUUUUUUUUUCAAAUGUACAAAAAUCAACUUUUAAUAUCAGAGCCAAGUUUCGAUCC
Molecule: long non-coding RNA, 1307 nt
Organism: Momordica charantia (bitter melon)
Lineage: Eukaryota; Viridiplantae; Streptophyta; Magnoliopsida; Cucurbitales; Cucurbitaceae
Source: RefSeq, a predicted model, not a curated record